CAUUCGAUACUGAAAAGCUAGAGUAUGGGAGAGGAUGUAGAUUCCCGGGUGUAGCGGUGAAAUGCGUAGAGAUCGGGAGGAAUACCGAUGGCGAAGGCAGCCAUCUGGCCUAAUACUGACGUGAGGUACGAAAGCAUGGGGGAGCAAACAGGAUUAGAUACCCUGGUAGUCCAUGCCGUAAACGAUGUCUACUAGCCGUGGGGCCUUUGAGGCUUUAGUGGCGCAGCUAACGCGAUAAGUAGACCGCCUGGGGAGUACGGUCGCAAGACUAAAACUCAAAUGAAUUGACGGGGGCCCGCACAAGCGGUGGAGCAUGUGGUUUAAUUCGAUGCAACGCGAAGAACCUUACCUGGCCUUGACAUACUAAGAACUUUCCAGAGAUGGAUUGGUGCCUUCGGGAACUUAGAUACAGGUGCUGCAUGGCUGUCGUCAGCUCGUGUCGUGAGAUGUUGGGUUAAGUCCCGCAACGAGCGCAACCCUUUUCCUUAUUUGCCAGCGGGUUAAGCCGGGAACUUUAAGGAUACUGCCAGUGACAAACUGGAGGAAGGCGGGGACGACGUCAAGUCAUCAUGGCCCUUACGGCCAGGGCUACACACGUGCUACAAUGGUCGGUACAAAGGGUUACUACCUCGCGAGAGGAUGGUAAUCUCAAAAAGCCGAUCGUAGUCCGGAUCGCAGUCUGCAACUCGACUGCGUGAAGUCGGAAUCGCUAGUAAUCGCGGAUCAGAAUGCCGCGGUGAAUACGUUCCCGGGCCUUGUACACACCGCCCGUCACACCAUGGGAGUUUGUUGCACCAGAAGUAGGUAGUCUAACCGCAAGGAGGACGCUUACCACUGUGUGGCCGAGAAGAAGUGUCUAGCCUCGCACUAACACAACCA
Molecule: ribosomal RNA, 879 nt
Filed under: Acinetobacter sp. B-QPkG1
Lineage: Bacteria; Pseudomonadati; Pseudomonadota; Gammaproteobacteria; Moraxellales; Moraxellaceae
Description: bacterial SSU rRNA
Rfam family: Bacterial small subunit ribosomal RNA
Source: RNAcentral